CGUUUCGGCCAGUCGCCAGCGGUUGAAUCAGUCUGUUUUGAAACGUUGAAGUGUGAGGACGUCGGCCGCGGAUCUCAAGUAAUUUGCGUUUUGUCUUCGGGAUUGUAACUGUUUUUGAGGCUUUUACUACUGUUCGCAGACACGCAUUAUGAGCGCCGAUAGGAAGAUUACCAACCACGUAACGUUACCAACGGCGCUGGGUGCCAAACGAUGAAUCUCGUACGAAGUGACAGGUGGUGAGAACACAAGGUGGUGAGAACCCAAUCUCUCCAGUUAGUUGGUGGCUUACGCAAGCAAGGGAAACUAGACGGUGCAUCGCAAGUCCCGAAGUAUACGUAAAACAGAUGAACUUGAUCACCGAGAAGCAGAGUUCCUCAAGAAUAUUUUUCAUCGCCGCUGUACGGACAUUGUGAAUAUGUGUCCCAUGAGUUCAC
Long non-coding RNA from Ornithodoros turicata, 434 nucleotides. RefSeq lists it as uncharacterized. The record is from RefSeq and is a predicted model, not a curated record. NCBI's taxonomy places the organism in Eukaryota, Metazoa, Arthropoda, Arachnida, Ixodida, Argasidae. The transcript is spliced from 3 exons.